RNAcentral lists this unclassified non-coding RNA (219 nucleotides) under uncultured fungus. RNAcentral describes it as "sequence contains ITS1, 5.8S rRNA gene". The stretch from base 171 to 219 matches the Rfam family "5.8S ribosomal RNA", at positions 1 to 49 of the family's 154-position model. The record is from RNAcentral. Lineage: Eukaryota; Fungi.
UUUCCGUAGGUGAACCUGCGGAAGGAUCAUUACUGUGGGGGAUUGUCCCCAUUAGAUAGAUACCCUUUGUUUAUGAGUACCUCUGUUUCCUCGGCGGGCCCGCCCGCCAAUGGGGACCACGAAGAAACCUCUUGCAGUUGCAGUAAACGUCUAAACAAACAAAAAAUCAAAACUUUCAACAACGGAUCUCUUGGUUCUGGCAUCGAUGAAGAACGCAGC